CAUUGCUCCAAGAUGGCGGCGGCGGCGGCAGCGGGAGCGCAGCUCAGCUGGGCUGGAACUGCCCUCCUGGAACUCCCCCAGCCUGCAACCUAGGAGGUGCAGGGACUGAGGCUCAGGCCAAAUCGCAACUCAGACCCAGUGAACCCAAGGCCUGAAGAGAAUUUGGAUUCAUUUACAUUGUUUUGUGGGGACUGGAGAGACAAGUAAACUCUCAGAGUAACUGUCCCCUCUGACUACCAUUUCUAAGGCAAGCCCCCUGUUUCUACUCUUGCGCCCCCUUCUGGUUUCCUGCCCUGUCUGUAAGUUGCAUGGCUUUUGUCCGUCUUUUUGUUUGUUUGUUUGUUUGUUUUGAGACAGGGUCUCACCCAGGCUAGAGUGAAGUGGAGCAAUCUCGGCUCACUGCAACCUCCGCCUCCUGAGUUCAAGUGAUUCUCACACCUCAGCCUCCCCAAUAGCUGGGAUUACAGGUGCGCACCACCAUGCCCAGCUAAUCUUUGUAUUUUUUGGUAGAGAGGGGGUUUCACCAUAUUGCCCACGCUGGUCUCU
Molecule: small RNA, 546 nt
Filed under: Pan troglodytes (chimpanzee)
Lineage: Eukaryota; Metazoa; Chordata; Mammalia; Primates; Hominidae
Description: retained intron
Source: RNAcentral